UACGUAGGGUGCAAGCGUUAAUCGGAAUUACUGGGCGUAAAGCGUGCGCAGGCGGCUUUGCAAGACAGAUGUGAAAUCCCCGGGCUUAACCUGGGAACUGCAUUUGUGACUGCAUGGCUGGAGUGCGGCAGAGGGGGAUGGAAUUCCGCGUGUAGCAGUGAAAUGCGUAGAUAUGCGGAGGAACACCGAUGGCGAAGGCAAUCCCCUGGGCCUGCACUGACGCUCAUGCAGGAAAGCGUGGGGAGCAAACAGG
This 253-nucleotide ribosomal RNA is filed under the name uncultured bacterium. RNAcentral's name for it is "partial 16S ribosomal RNA". It matches the Rfam family "Bacterial small subunit ribosomal RNA", at positions 524 to 776 of the family's 1533-position model. The record is from RNAcentral.